Molecule: ribosomal RNA, 255 nt
Filed under: uncultured bacterium
Lineage: Bacteria
Description: partial 16S ribosomal RNA
Rfam family: Bacterial small subunit ribosomal RNA
Source: RNAcentral
UACGAAGGGGGCUAGCGUUGUUCGGAAUUACUGGGCGUAAAGAGCGCGCAGGCGGUCGUUCAAGUCGCGUGUGAAAGCCCCCCGGCUCAACUGGGGAGGGUCACGCGAUACUGAUCGACUGGAAGGCAGGAGAGGGUAGUGGAAUUCCCGGUGUAGUGGUGAAAUGCGUAGAUAUCGGGAGGAACACCAGUGGCGAAGGCGACUACCUGGCCUGUUCUUGACGCUGAGGCGCGAAAGCUAGGGGAGCAAACGGGG